RNAcentral lists this ribosomal RNA (263 nucleotides) under uncultured bacterium. Its description in RNAcentral is "partial 16S ribosomal RNA". It matches the Rfam family "Bacterial small subunit ribosomal RNA", at positions 524 to 776 of the family's 1533-position model. The record is from RNAcentral.
UACGUAGGGGGCAAGCGUUUAUCCGGAAUCAUUGGGCGUAAAGCGCGUGUAGGCGGUUCAGUAAGUCCGCUCUGAAAGCCCCAGGGCUCAACCCCUGGGGAGGCGGGGUGGAUACUACUGGACUAGAGUACGGAAGAGGAGAUUGGAAUUCCUGGUGUAGCGGUGAAAUGCGCAGAUAUCAGGAGGAACACCAACAGCGAAGGCAGAUCUCUGGGACGUAACUGACGCUGGAGACGCGAAAAGCCGUGGGGGAGCAAAACAGG